This 196-nucleotide ribosomal RNA is filed under the name uncultured bacterium. Its description in RNAcentral is "partial 16S ribosomal RNA". It matches the Rfam family "Bacterial small subunit ribosomal RNA", at positions 326 to 539 of the family's 1533-position model. The record is from RNAcentral.
ACGCUCGACACCUACGGGGCAGCAGUGGGGAAUAUUGCACAAUGGGGGAAACCCUGAUGCAGCGACGCCGCGUGAGCGAAGAAGUAUUUCGGUAUGUAAAGCUCUAUCAGCAGGGAAGAAAGUGACGGUACCUGACUAAGAAGCACCGGCUAAAUACGUGCCAGCAGCCGCGGUAAUCUGAGCGGGCUGGCAAGGC